GCACCCCGUGAACAAUAUUGUUAACAAGUUGUUGAACCAUCAACAUUGUUGCAACUUGUUGACAAUUAUGUUAACAACUUGCAACAGUACUGAUGGUUGAACAACUUGUUAACAAUAUUGUUCACGGGGUGC
This 132-nucleotide microRNA precursor is filed under the name Paramuricea clavata. The record is from RNAcentral. Lineage: Eukaryota; Metazoa; Cnidaria; Anthozoa; Malacalcyonacea; Plexauridae.